RNAcentral lists this unclassified non-coding RNA (280 nucleotides) under uncultured fungus. RNAcentral's name for it is "partial contains small subunit ribosomal RNA, internal transcribed spacer 1, and 5.8S ribosomal RNA". The stretch from base 1 to 73 matches the Rfam family "Eukaryotic small subunit ribosomal RNA", at positions 1759 to 1831 of the family's 1831-position model. Lineage: Eukaryota; Fungi. The record is from RNAcentral.
CCAAACUUGGUCAUUUAGAGGAAGUAAAAGUCGUAACAAGGUCUCCGUUGGUGAACCAGCGGAGGGAUCAUUACAGAGAGUGAAAAACUCCCUUAACCCUUUGUGAAUCUACCUGAAUUUUUGCUUCGGCAGGUGGUCCCAGGGCGGGACCGUAGCCAGUUUGGCACCUGCCGAAGGCCAUAAAACUCUUGUAUUGUUUGAUGUAUCUGAGCUAUAAAAAAAAUGAAUCAAAACUUUCAACAACGGAUCUCUUGGUUCUGGCAUCGAUGAAGAACGCAGC